CCUACGGGAGGCUGCAGUGAGGAAUAUUGGUCAAUGGGCGCGAGCCUGAACCAGCCAAGUAGCGUGAAGGAUGACUGCCCUACGGGUUGUAAACUUCUUUUAUAAAGGAAUAAAGUGAGGCACGUGUGCCUUUUUGUAUGUACUUUAUGAAUAAGGAUCGGCUAACUCCGUGCCAGCAGCCGCGGUAAUACGGAGGAUACGAGCGUUAUCCGGAUUUUUUGGGUUUAAAGGGAGCGUAGAUGGGUUGUUAAGUCAGAUGUGAAAGUUUGCGGCUCAACCGUAAAAUUGCAAUUGAUACUGGCAGUCUUGAGUACAGUAGAGGUAGGCGGAAUUCGUGGUGUAGCGGUGAAAUGCUUAGAUAUCACGAAGAACUCCGAUUGCGAAGGCAGCUUACUGAACUGACACUGACGUUGAGGCUCGAAAGUGUGGGUAGCAAACAGGAUUAGAUACCCGAGUAGUC
RNAcentral lists this ribosomal RNA (460 nucleotides) under uncultured bacterium. RNAcentral describes it as "partial 16S ribosomal RNA". It matches the Rfam family "Bacterial small subunit ribosomal RNA", at positions 338 to 795 of the family's 1533-position model. The record is from RNAcentral.